This 468-nucleotide ribosomal RNA is filed under the name uncultured bacterium. RNAcentral describes it as "partial 16S ribosomal RNA". It matches the Rfam family "Bacterial small subunit ribosomal RNA", at positions 28 to 507 of the family's 1533-position model. The record is from RNAcentral.
GACGAACGCUGGCGGCGUGCUUAACACAUGCAAGUCGAACGGAAAGGCCCUGCUUUUGUGGGGUGCUCGAGUGGAGAACGGGUGAGUAACACGUGAGUAACCUGCCCUUGACUUUGGGAUAACUUCAGGAAACUGGGGCUAAUACCGGAUAGGAGCUCCUGCUGCAUGGUGGGGGUUGGAAAGUUUCGGCGGUUGGGGAUGGACUCGCGGCUUAUCAGCUUGUUGGUGGGGUAGUGGCUUACCAAGGCUUUGACGGGUAGCCGGCCUGAGAGGGUGACCGGCCACAUUGGGACUGAGAUACGGCCCAGACUCCUACGGGAGGCAGCAGUGGGGAAUAUUGCACAAUGGGCGGAAGCCUGAUGCAGCAACGCCGCGUGCGGGAUGACGGCCUUCGGGCUGUAAACCGCUUUCGCCUGUGACGAAGCGUGAGUGACGGUAAUGGGUAAAGAAGCACCGGCUAACUACGUG